UGGCACAUACGGGGGCGAAAGCGCAUACUAUGGAGGCUCGUCACGUGUGGAGGAGUUGGGGCUACUGCUGGUUGCUGCGGCGCUGGGAUCUCCAAGGGUUUUUUUUCUUAUUUUUCUUGUUGGGCCGCUUCGUCAGUAGGCUAGGGUUUUAGAAAUUUAGGUUGGGUCUAGGUUGAAUUUGGGUUUACGUUUGGGCAAGGUUAAUGGACAUAAAAAUUUUUGUUUAUAUUUUUAUUUUGAUUUGAUAUAUAUUUUUAUUAAAGGUCGGGCAAAUAUUAGGUCUUACAGCUGCCCCUCUUUGCUUAUUGUCUUGUAAUGAUAAUAGAG
This 327-nucleotide long non-coding RNA is filed under the name Gossypium raimondii (Peruvian cotton). RNAcentral's name for it is "long non-coding RNA (GRAI_LNC008999)". Lineage: Eukaryota; Viridiplantae; Streptophyta; Magnoliopsida; Malvales; Malvaceae. The record is from RNAcentral.